RNAcentral lists this ribosomal RNA (741 nucleotides) under Candidatus Peregrinibacteria bacterium. RNAcentral describes it as "bacterial SSU rRNA". It matches the Rfam family "Bacterial small subunit ribosomal RNA", at positions 1 to 747 of the family's 1533-position model. The record is from RNAcentral. Lineage: Bacteria; Candidatus Peregrinibacteriota.
AAACUUUUUUUUUAACGAAGAGUUUGAUCCUGGCUCAGGGUUAACGCUGGCGGUAUGUAUAAUACAUGCAAGUCGAGCGCCCUGCACUUUGUCUAUAAUUCGUUUAUAGGUGAGGUGCAGGGAGCGGCGGACGGCUGAGUAACACGUUGGUAACUACCUCGCACUCAGGGAUAACAUCUAGAAAUAGGUGCUAAUACCGGAUGGUCUCGUAAGAGUAAAGCUUUUGCGGUGCGAGAGGUGCCUGCGGCCUAUCAGUUUGUUGGUGAGGUAACGGCUCACCAAGACUAUGACGGGUAACUGGUCUGAGAGGAUGAUCAGUCAGAGGGAAACUGAGACACGGUUCCCACUCCUACGGGAGGCAGCAGUAAAGAAUCUUCCACAAUGGACGAAAGUCUGAUGGAGCGACACCGCGUGCAGGAUGAAGGCUUUCGGGUUGUAAACUGCUUUUCUGAGGGAAUAACUAUGAAGGUACCUUAGGAAUAAGCACCGGCUAAUUACGUGCCAGCAGCCGCGGUAAUACGUAAGGUGCAAACGUUAUCCGGAAUUAUUGGGCGUAAAGCGUCCGCAGGCUGCUUAGCAAGUCAGAUAUUAAAUCUUAAGGCUCAACUUUAAGACCGUAUUCGAAACUGCUAAGCUAGAGACAUUCAGAGGUACAUGGAAUUCUACAUGUAGGGGUAAAAUCCGUAGAUAUGUAGAGGAACACCAAAAGCGAAGGCAGUGUACUGGGAAUGUUCUGACGCU